This 303-nucleotide long non-coding RNA is filed under the name Paramuricea clavata. Lineage: Eukaryota; Metazoa; Cnidaria; Anthozoa; Malacalcyonacea; Plexauridae. The record is from RNAcentral.
CCACAUAUGAUUUAUAACCAGAAUAAUUACUUGAUAUUAUUUGUGAAUUGUGACGUGUCUGUGCUUUGCUACACGGCUAAAUAACCUGAUAACCUGCAUAAUAUGCUGUUUUAUCAAGCCAAAAUUGUGACUUAAACAUGUUGACGAGAAUAGCGAGAAUUUCGUUCCACAACGGACUUAUGGGGAAGCAUUUAAAGACAUAUUUGAAAUUGUCAAUGAUGAAGUCGUUCACAAAUGUAAACAAGACAUUUUACCGACGUUUGGUGUCUAAUAUUCCGACUGAGACUGACGGGAAAGCAGGUA